GUGGGGAAUAUUGCACAAUGGGCGCAAGCCUGAUGCAGCCAUGCCGCGUGUAUGAAGAAGGCCUUCGGGUUGUAAAGUACUUUCAGCGGGGAGGAAGGUGUUGUGGUUAAUAACCGCAGCAAUUGACGUUACCCGCAGAAGAAGCACCGGCUAACUCCGUGCCAGCAGCCGCGGUAAUACGGAGGGUGCAAGCGUUAAUCGGAAUUACUGGGCGUAAAGCGCACGCAGGCGGUCUGUCAAGUCGGAUGUGAAAUCCCCGGGCUCAAACUGGGAACUGCAUUCGAAACUGGCAGGCUGGAGUCUUGUAGAGGGGGUAGAAUUCCAGGUGUAGCGGUGAAAUGCGUAGAGAUCUGGAGGAAUACCGGUGGCGAAGGCGGCCCCCUGGACAAAGACUGACGCUCAGGUGCGAAAGCGUGGGGAGCAAACGGAUUAGAUACCCCUGUAGUCC
Molecule: ribosomal RNA, 448 nt
Filed under: uncultured bacterium
Lineage: Bacteria
Description: partial 16S ribosomal RNA
Rfam family: Bacterial small subunit ribosomal RNA
Source: RNAcentral